Molecule: ribosomal RNA, 608 nt
Filed under: uncultured bacterium
Lineage: Bacteria
Description: bacterial SSU rRNA
Rfam family: Bacterial small subunit ribosomal RNA
Source: RNAcentral
GAUUCUUCGGAUGAAUUCAUUUGUGACUGAGCGGCGGACGGGUGAGUAACGCGUGGGUAACCUGCCUCAUACAGGGGGAUAACAGUUGGAAACGACUGCUAAUACCGCAUAAGCGCACGGUACCGCAUGGUACAGUGUGAAAAACUCCGGUGGUAUGAGAUGGACCCGCGUCUGAUUAGCUAGUUGGUGGGGUAACGGCCUACCAAGGCGACGAUCAGUAGCCGACCUGAGAGGGUGACCGGCCACAUUGGGACUGAGACACGGCCCAAACUCCUACGGGAGGCAGCAGUGGGGAAUAUUGCACAAUGGGGGAAACCCUGAUGCAGCAACGCCGCGUGAGUGAAGAAGUAUUUCGGUAUGUAAAGCUCUAUCAGCAGGGAAGAAAAUGACGGUACCUGACUAAGAAGCCCCGGCUAACUACGUGCCAGCAGCCGCGGUAAUACGUAGGGGGCAAGCGUUAUCCGGAUUUACUGGGUGUAAAGGGAGCGCAGACGGCGAGACAAGUCUGAAGUGAAAGCCCGGGGCUCAACCCCGGGACUGCUUUGGAAACUGCCUUGCUAGAGUGCUGGAGAGGUAAGUGGAAUUCCUAGUGUAGCGGUGAAAUGCGU